Molecule: ribosomal RNA, 254 nt
Filed under: uncultured bacterium
Lineage: Bacteria
Description: partial small subunit ribosomal RNA
Rfam family: Bacterial small subunit ribosomal RNA
Source: RNAcentral
AGGACGAACGCUGGCGGCGUGCUUAACACAUGCAAGUCGAGCGGAAAGGCCCUUCGGGGUACUCGAGCGGCGAACGGGUGAGUAACACGUGAGCAAUCUGCCCUUAGCUUCGGGAUAGCUCCGGGAAACCGGAAUUAAUACCGAAUACGACUACGGCCGACAUCGGCUGUGGUGGAAAGUUUUUCGGCUAGGGAUGAGCUCGCGGCCUAUCAGCUUGUUGGUGAGGUAACGGCUCACCAAGGCGACGGCGGGUA